CGGGACUGCAGGCGGGAGAGGGUGCGGGCGCGUGCGGGAGAGGCGCCUGAGCCCCGGGGCGAAGCGGGCUGGGGGCGUCUUAAGGGGUCGAGGCACUUGAAGGCACGGUGCCCCCCGAGAGGAGGUAUUUGCAGGUGCAGGCGCCGAGCUCGGCGCGCAGACCUGUUCAAAGGGGUGGGUGCCGGGAGAGCAGGACGUUUUGAGACUAGAGCCAAGCCCAGAAGACAUGUGAAGAGGCCCGGGCUUGGGUUUGAGAACCCGUUUCUUAGAGGCUGGGAUAAAGGACUCUUACCCAGCGCCUGGCGAGGUCUUCCUCUGAGGAAGAACGGGCACUCCCGCUCUCCCCCGGUGUCCUCUCUGGCUCCUCCAGGUUCCCUUGACCCCAGACCCCCCUGUUUUCAGGCUAUGGCCCCCAGUGCCCUGUAGACCUGGCGCGACUCCCGUGCUUUCGACCCCUUUGGGGGGCCUUGGGUGGCUUCUGGAGGGCCUUGCAGAGGGGCAGAGAAGGCAGGACCAUGGCAUCUAGGGCCUUUGACCCUCCCCCAGGGCGCAGCGUGACGGCGGGCAUCAUCAUUGUUGGAGAUGAGAUCCUCAAGGGACACACUCAGGACACCAAUACCUACUUUCUGUGCCGGACACUGCGCUCCCUGGGGGUCCAGGUGUGCCGAGUCUCUGUUGUUCCCGACGAGGUCGCCGCCAUCGCGGCUGAGGUCACUUCUUUCUCCAGCCGCUUCACCCACGUCCUCACGGCAGGGGGCAUCGGCCCCACUCAUGACGACGUGACCUUCGAGGCAGUAGCGCAGGCCUUUGGGGACAAACUCAGGCCACACCCUGAGCUGGAAGCAGCCAUCAGAGCCCUGGGAGGGAAGGGCUGGGCCAAGCUGUCUCUCGUGCCCUCCUCCGCCCGCCUGCAUUACGGCACUGAUCCCCGCACUGGCCGGCCCUUCGAGCUGCCGCUGGUCUCCGUCCGGAACGUCUACCUCUUCCCGGGCAUUCCGGAGCUGCUGCGAAGGGUGCUGGAAGGGCUGAAGGGCCUGUUCCAGAACACUGCUGUGCAGUUUCACCUGCGGGAGCUCUAUGUGGCCGCCGACGAGGCCUCGAUCGCCCCCAUCCUGGCCGAGGCCCAGGCCCACUUUGGGCGCAGGCUGGGCCUGGGCUCCUACCCUGACUGGGGCAGCAACUAUUAUCAAGUGAAGCUCACUCUGGACUCGGAGGAGGAAGGGCCCCUGGAGGAGGGCCUGGCCUACCUGACCGCCCGCCUGCCCCCGGGGUCGCUGGUCCCCUACGUGCCCGACGCCGUGCCGCAGGCCAGCGAGGCCGUGUACAGACUCGCCGAAUCAGGGUCUUCUCUGGGGGAAAAGGUGGCAGGUGCCCUGCAGACCAUCGAGACGGCCCUGGCUCGGUACGACCUCACCCGCCUCUGCGUGGGCUUCAACGGAGGCAAGGACUGCACCGCGCUCCUGCAUCUCUUCCAUGCCGCCGCGCAGAGGAAACGCCCCGACACUCAGGAACCCCUCCAGAUCCUGUAUAUCCGCAGCAUCUCCCCUUUCCCCGAGCUCGAGCAGUUCCUACAGGACACCAUCAAGAGGUACAAUCUACGGGUCUUGGAGGCUGAGGGAGACAUGAAGCAGGCCCUGAGCGAGCUGCGGACACAGCACCCCCAGCUGGAGGCUGUGCUGAUGGGCACCCGCCGUACGGACCCCUACUCCUGCAGCCUCUGCCCUUUCAGCCCCACCGACCCUGGCUGGCCGGCCUUCAUGCGCAUCAACCCGCUGCUGGUAACGGGGUAGAGGCUGUGGGGCCUCCAGUCUCCCCAUCCCUAUUCCCCGUGGGGGAGCGGUUGGAGCCUGGGGCUCAGAUGUAGAAACACCCGCCCGAGGGAGGCUGUGCCGUCGGGUCCUCGGGCCUGAGCGCUGCCCACUGCACCCUGAGAGCAGGCGCGUGCUCUCUCCCGCUAGGUCUGUGCUGCCCAGUGUGGGGGCCGCUGGCCACCCACUUACACUCAAGCUGCAGUUUCCUAAAAUUAAAUAACUACUAAAAAUGGGGCUGGUGGGAGGAGCGGGCCCCUGAGUGGGGGCCGGCGAGCUCGGGGAGAGGGCCAAAAGGGCAGCUUAGCCGGCGCGUGCCCACCUGCGGGUGGAUGGCGAGGGGAGAAAAUAAAAAAAAAGAACUACUAAAACUAACAAAAUGGGGGCUUUAAAAGGAUGAACUCAGUGGCCUGCGGAAAGUCAAAGUUCAGUCCCUGAUUUGCGCCAAGGUCAUUUCAGGUGCCCCGUGUCAGAAGGCACAGCUGGGGCCCAUUUCCACCCCUGCGCAGGCCGGCCUGCUCGCCGCGGGCUCACACAGACAGGACUGGACCUACAGAGACAUCUGGGACUUCCUCCGUCAGCUCUUUGUCCCCUACUGUAUCCUGUA
RNA transcript from Enhydra lutris kenyoni (northern sea otter), 2415 nucleotides. It is a transcript of the gene named flavin adenine dinucleotide synthetase 1, with no coding region annotated. Lineage: Eukaryota; Metazoa; Chordata; Mammalia; Carnivora; Mustelidae. The transcript is spliced from 6 exons. The record is from RefSeq and is a predicted model, not a curated record.